Molecule: long non-coding RNA, 2919 nt
Organism: Fukomys damarensis (Damara mole-rat)
Lineage: Eukaryota; Metazoa; Chordata; Mammalia; Rodentia; Bathyergidae
Source: Ensembl
CACAAUUUUCAGGCUACUCAUACUCAAGGUUCUCAUGGCCUUCGCAGAUGUACCCACAAAAUUUCGAUUCAGUGAAAAUGCGCUACGCUUGUCACGAGCCUGCUACGGGAGCCCAGGAAGGGAAAGCAGUGACUGUCCAGAAGGGGCUGGAGACCUCAAGGCCGGGCCUGUGCUGGCUCCUUGUUUCAGGGGCUCCGGUCGGGUCCUCCUCUAUUCCAUCACCUACGGAACACAGCCCAAGGGAUGGGGGGCCUCAGAAUGUUCCUAGGUACAGCAAGCAGGCUUUCCAGGACAACCCUGGCUCCUGGACUUUCUCCCGAGGACAAGCCGUGACAACGACGUGACUGCCUAUCCCUCAGCGGUGGUCGUGAUGAAUUCAAGUGCAGGACAGAGAUAGAAAUAGGAAGAGAAGGGAAUUUGAAGAGUUCAAGCCAUCAUGACAUCGUCCUAAACAUCCUUACAGAGAUAGCUGGCUACGAACCAGUGGCUCUGAGCAGUUUUCUUCCAACGCUGGAAGAGACUGGUAAGAGAUUCCCGUGUCUCAUUGGACAAACGGCAAGGGUCUAUGGAGCUGCUGGGCACGUGGAUGAAGUGAGAGCCAGGAGCUGCCUGGUGUACCUGGUAAGCCAGCUAGAGGAUAUGGAACAUUCAUUUCAUCCUAUUCUCCUGCUAGAGAUCAAGCGCAUCACCGACAGCUUCUCCUCCAUCCUGGGCCCUCAGAGCAGGGACAUCUUCUGCAUCAGCAACAGCUUUACUACCAUUGCCAAGCUCUUGUGCAGACAACUGGAAAACACCAGGACUGUUGGUGACAGGAGAAAAACCAGCACUGAUACUGGGCUCCCUGAGAAAAUAAGACAAGUCAAUCUCGAGGUAGCUAAAAGUGAAGACCAUGAAAAGCUUCAAGUUAAAAUCCAGGCUUUUGAAGACAAAAUGAAUGCUGAAAGCAACACUCCGGGAUCUAUCAGAACACACAGCUUAAGCCAUAUUUCCAAGGAAGAAAGAAAAAGCAUUAUAUUUAACAGGUCAAAAAGUUUGGCUUUGCACACUGUGCUCACAAAGGGUGUGAGUUCGGAUGACAGGGAAGAGGAAGCGAGCGCAGGAACAGCGGUCGGCAUCUCUCUUUCAGAAACAGACCCACGAAGCCGGAGAAGUGACAGGCUGCCCCUUGAGACAGACACCCACGGGUCACAGCUGAAAAACUCUUCAGCUUCACACCCAAUCGUUGUACGUAUCGAGUCAGAGAAUUGUGAAGAAACCACUACAGGAAACUUCCAGGGAGAAACUCCAGAGAUAACCACAUAUCCUAGACAAUACCAAGUAUUCAGAAAAAUCCUGAAAAGAAAUCUGUGGUGUUGUAGCAGGCUCUGAGGGCCCAGCAGCAAUAUCUCUGUUCACGGAAUUCUGCAGAAAAGCCCUGUGAAGGCCUAGGCAGCAGCUUCAAGAGAUUUUUCUUUCACUCAGCUACUAUCCCAAGCACUAUGCCCUAAGGUACUGAAGAUUUAGACAGCAGACACAGUCCCUCACCUCAAGAUUACAGCACAGAAAGAAAAUGACAAAAGCAGUUAGCAGGUCAGGAGCCAGCAAGAGUGUGAACCAGUCAGAAAACAAAGGGCAAAGUGAAAAUAAUGCCAGAAGCCAGACCUCUUUCGGAGCACAACUUAGGGUAGCACCAACAAACAAACAAAUAUCAACAGCAAAACACAUAGAAUAAAAUUUUAAGUAAUGAUAGGAUCAAUAACUGUCUCUCAAGCUACACCAGACUCUUAGGAAUAAUUAAUAAUUAGGAAUAAGGGGAAUAAUUAAUUGUGAGUCUAAUCACAAUUUUGAUAUGCUGUUCAUCACAAAUAUUUCCAUCAUUUUUUUGCCUGAUUUUUUUUUUUUUUUUGAGACAUGCUUUUGCUAAGUAGUCCAGGCUGGCCUUGAACUCACAGUGAUCCUCCUGCCUCAGCCUCCCAGAUGCUGGGAUUGCAGGCAUGUGCACUACAACUACAUUAUUUUAAUUUUUAAAAUAUUAUUUACCUUGAUUGUUAAAUUCACCAGUUCACUUUAUGUUUUGUUGGUAAGGUACCUGGCACUCUGAGAGGACUUGACAUCUUCUCAGAGGCUACACCCUCACAGAAAAAGCGAAGCAGCCCAACCUCCAAAAAGAAACACAGCUGAAGGACAGGGAUCCAAAUUAAAUUCACCCACCUGCUGACUCUCAGAUUAGGUGCUAGAAGGGUCUUAUUUCCCAUACUCCACUUUCCAUUCCUUUUCACACUGCAGAUCAGAGGAAAGAGGAAAUUGGCCUGCUAAUGAAGGUGAAAGAGGGUCAAGCAUUCAGUUAAAAGCAUGUCUUUGCAGAAUCUGACACUUUCAGAGGUGUUUGCAAUAACUUGGUUAGCCUUUUUAAAACUCUUUUUUAAAGCAGUGAUAGGGCCGGGGAUUUAGCUCAGUGGUUCCGGCACCUGCCUCUCAAGCGCAAUAGACCUGAGUUCGAUCCCCGGUAUCGAAAAAAAUUCACUAAAGUAGUGACGACAAAAGCAAUACUGCCCCAUACCCAAAUUUAAGUCUUAGAUAAUGAGGAUUUAGAUAAUUCCCAGAGCACGGGAAUACCUAAAAUCAAUAAAGCUCAAAGUAAACUUCUUACAGUUGCUCCUUUUGCUAUGUAUCUAAUGUGCAGGUUAGAGAAUUUAAUGUAAGAGAGACGAAAACAAUUCCCAGUUUGACAGAGGGAAUCUAUCGCAGAGAAUCUAUAGGCACAUUUUCCAUUACUAGAAAAAUGUGCGAGUUUGUGUGUUUCAAUUUUGCCUAAAGUAUGAAAGUUUUGCUAUACAGUCAGUUUACAUUUUGUGGAAAUACAGAGGAAAUCCUGCAGAACUACUUUAAGCACCUUGUGUCAAAACACAUAUUUCUCAUUGCCUUGAAUUAUUUGAGGAG